Molecule: long non-coding RNA, 135 nt
Organism: Aricia agestis (brown argus)
Lineage: Eukaryota; Metazoa; Arthropoda; Insecta; Lepidoptera; Lycaenidae
Exons: 3
Source: RefSeq, a predicted model, not a curated record
GUCGUAGGUUACACGCUCAAUCUGGCAUGAGUUCAGCCCAUCAAUCUGAGAUUGACGCCAGAUUGAUGGCUAAAAAGGACAUAAUAAAAAAAUGAUUAGUUAUCAAUCCGUGGGUUACACUCGUUUGCCUCAAUC